Molecule: ribosomal RNA, 450 nt
Filed under: uncultured bacterium
Lineage: Bacteria
Description: partial 16S ribosomal RNA
Rfam family: Bacterial small subunit ribosomal RNA
Source: RNAcentral
GUGGGGAAUAUUCCGCAAUGGACGAAAGUCUGACGGAGCAACGCCGCGUGAGUGAUGAAGGUUUUCGGACUGUAAAGCUCUGUUGUUUAGGACGAAAGUGCCUGUUGCGAACAGUUACAGGUAUUGACGGUACUGAACGAGGAAGCCACGGCUAACUACGUGCCAGCAGCCGCGGUAAUACGUAGGUGGCAAGCGUUGUCCGGAAUUAUUGGGCGUAAAGAGCAUGUAGGCGGGAAUCUAAGUCUGUUGUGAAAAUGCUGGGCUCAACCCCGUAUUGCGAUGGAAACUGGGUUUCUUGAGUGCAGGAGAGGAAAGGGGAAUUCCCAGUGUAGCGGUGAAAUGCGUAGAUAUUGGGAGGAACACCAGUGGCGAAGGCGCCUUUCUGGACUGUGUCUGACGCUGAGAUGCGAAAGCCAGGGUAGCGAACGGGAUUAGAAACCCCUGUAGUCC